This 1002-nucleotide ribosomal RNA is filed under the name Triticum aestivum (bread wheat). RNAcentral describes it as "partial small subunit ribosomal RNA". The record is from RNAcentral. Lineage: Eukaryota; Viridiplantae; Streptophyta; Magnoliopsida; Poales; Poaceae.
AUGGCGUCCACUUCGGAUGCCAACUCUGUUGCGAGCGGUGGCGGCGUGGUGGCCGCCAAAUCGGACUUGGAAAACUGCUUCGACCAGUUGGAUCUCAACGAGGAGUUCGAGGAUGUAGAUAUUGAUGAGGAUGAUCGUGAGAUUAAAGAAAGCGUCUGGUGGCUCGCCCUGGCUAGGGUUCACACCGACAAAAAUUUCAGCCAAUCUGUGUUUUACAGGGAUAUGCGAGCGGCGUGGAACCCGGCGCAGCACGUGAGGUUUCGGCCUGUUGGCCCUAAUCGGUUUGUCGUCCAGGCAUCAUGCUUGGGAGACUGGGAGCGCAUGAUGAUGCAGGGCCCAUGGCUGUUCCGCAACUAGGCGGUGUUGAUGUGCCCAUAUGAUGGGUUCAGUAGAGCGGAGGAUGUAAGCUUCGUUCAUAUGCCGAUCUGGCUCCAAAUUCACAAGUUACCUGACCCUUAUUGCAAGAAGAACAUUGUGGAGAAGCUGUUAAAGGGAGCAGGCGAUAUUAUGGAGAUGCGCCUGAACGGAAACACUAGGGGGGAUUUCAUAAGGGUGCGUGUGAAUCAUGACAUCCAACAACCUCUUACGAAAUUCGUUAGUAUCAUUCGAGCAAAGGAACGGCAGGUGUAUCUGGUCUGGUAUGAAAAACUAGCCAGGUUUUGCAAGAUGUGUGGCCUUGUUGGUCAUGAGCAUAAGGAGUGUGGACUAGGGAUCCAUGAUGAGAAGAAGCUCAAAUAUGGAGACUGGAUGUAUGCAGAUGCACCCAAUAAGCCCAGGGCAGAAUCAAACCCUGGCAAUAUGUCCGGGUCCCGCUCAUCACCAGGGAAGAGAGGAGGUCACGCUGCUCAAACUAACCCCGAUCAUGAGAGGGUUGAUCCAGAGACCUUGGACACGGCUUCAAGCCCGGUAAAGAUUGCUAAGGAAAGGAUGGAAGUGGACAAGGAUCCCAAGAAGAGGUUAAACAUGGAUGCGGAUGGGCUUGAAACUGUUGCUUCAGGAUAG